Molecule: signal recognition particle RNA, 299 nt
Filed under: Aotus nancymaae (Ma's night monkey)
Lineage: Eukaryota; Metazoa; Chordata; Mammalia; Primates; Aotidae
Description: Metazoan signal recognition particle RNA (ENSANAG00000011008.1)
Rfam family: Metazoan signal recognition particle RNA
About the family: The signal recognition particle (SRP) is a universally conserved ribonucleoprotein. It is involved in the co-translational targeting of proteins to membranes.
Source: RNAcentral
GCUGGGCGCGGUGGUGCAUGCCUAUAGUCUCAACUACUCUGGAGGCUGAGACUGGAGGAUCGCUUGAGCCCAGGAGUUUUGGGCUGUAGUGCACUAUGCCGAUCAGGUGUCCACAAUAAGUUCCGCAUCAAUAUGGUGACUUCCUGGGAGCAGGGGACAACCAGCUUGCCUAAGGAGGGGUGAACCGGCCCAGGUAGAAAACAGAACAGGUCAAAACUCUUGUGCUGAUCAGUAGUGGGAUAGUGCCUGUGAAUAGCCACUGCACCCUAGCCUGGGCAACACAGCAAGACCCUGUCACA